CAAUAAAUCUUUAAAACAGUAUACCAAAUGGUAAAACAGUGACACCUAGUGGAAAAAAUAAGCGACAACAUGCGGCUAUAAAACGAAACAGAAAAUAAGAAAAACAUACCUGCAGAAGACAAAAGAACAUUCAAUUUGCCUCGUAACCAGUUUAAAAACUUCCCAGAGGAGCUUUAAUGAGGGCCUAUUUAUUUCCAAGCAGCUGUGGGAGUUGGGGUAGCAUUUGGAUAUUUAUGUAGGCUAAUAUGACAAAAUAUCAAAAACCAUGUGGUUGAUAAAUUAAAAUAAGACCAUUCAGUGGAGAGUUAAAUUUCAGGUGUAACCGGAAGUGUGUAAGUGGUGUGUCUACCUUGACACUACAUGGAUUCGCAGGAUUUUCAGCCAACUGUCUACUGCCGAGUAUUGGAGGGGGGUCGGCUGAAUCGGUUGACUUUUUAAAUCCCGGGGAGUCUCCGUACAGUGAAGAGACUAAAUACAAUACUGGAUGUCUACGUCUCCUCAUCACUUAUUACCUCUCAAACAACAACCAUGUCUAUCAGUCCAACUCCAACACUGUACCAGCUGGUUUUGCUUUCGACCGCAAACAGGAGACUUACAAGGGAGGGUGAUUUUUCUACAACAGUGUUCCGUGUCAGGGAGAGGGCCCUUCUUUACGUUGCGCCCGAGUAUCGGGACAACAUUGAACUAACUCGUGCGUUAGUUAUUGCCGUAGAAGCCCUUUUAUACCUGCCGGUAACAGAAGCGGAGGCGAGUGGCGCACUAUUGAGUGCACUACUGACAAUAGGAGUCUCCAAAGCAGAUGAUUUCCUUAGAGCAGUAAGCAACCGGAUGGGAUGCCCGUCCACUCCUUAUCCCAUGGUGAUUCAAAACGGUGUGCUAGCCGUUGCGGACAACUACAACCCACUUGCCCGCCCUAUAAGGCAGGCCACAACCCAGGCUGUUGCCGCAUUUCACCAAAGACGCCUGGAAAGCAUCCGUGACCCCAACACCUUUGAUCAUCAAAGAGCCAACCCGCACAUCAUUCUCACGUCCCUGUGCGCUUAUGUCUAUGCGCUGGCCGCGAAGGCCGUCUCAUGUUACAACUCAGCCGUUGACAACGUGCUAACUCGAAUUCGCGAAGAGAACUUCAGCGGAUAUUGAUCCUUGUUACCGAUUGAGCAGGAGAAUGAUGACCAUUCUUGCACAGUUGAUCCGAGGACAAAUGACGGUCCGAUGGGUAAUUGUUGAUUUAUCCCUGAGGAUAAAACUCGAACCCACCGAGCCAUGGAUGAAGGUGGUUGUAUACCUGUCUGAGUACAUGCAGGAUGCCGGGAUUGCCAUGUUUCUUCUAAUAAGAGACGUCCUGAUCGUGACUCGACUGCGUGAGCUCACUUGCCCACUUUUCAACAGUGACCUUUUUAAGUUCAAGGAGGCCUGCUCUGCGCAUGUCUCGCUGGAGGAGUAUGGCCCCUAUGUGAGGUUUCUUGAGCUCCCACAAGCAACCCUGUUUCAGGCAGGCAAGUUCCCAAACUUGGUGCAGUUCAUGAGAGGAUUUACCUCAGAGUUUAACCCGCGUGCAGGUGAUCUGUUGACAGGAGGCGGGAGGGAGGUCCUGGUCCGCCAAAUCUACGACAUGGGGGUAAGGGCAGGGCGCCGGGCAGCCGAACAAGCGGCCAGGGAAUCCGGAGAAGCCAUUGCAUGACAGGCCAAUGAACGGGCACAUGGCGGGAUGGACGCCUUCCUGUACAGGGCUGCAGCCAGGAGAGUCUGAACCUGGGACUUCUUUUUUCCUUUUUGUGUAUCCCUUUUUUCAUUUUUUUUUUUUUCAUUAUGAAAGUUAUGUGGCCUUUCUGUACAUAGUUGUUCAAAGGCAGUGUUUUUUUUGUCCUUAUAUUUAAAGUGGCAUUGUUAUUUUAAAAUCUGAUUUCUUUUAGUACUUAAGGACACAUUUUCCUUUUAUGAUAUAGUUAUUUAGAAAAACUUUAGCACUCAAUGAGUGAAGUUCUCGGAGCAGUGCACCAAAACACCAGUCUUUCUUUUCUUGUUCUCAAAAAUAAAGUGCAUUUGAACUCUG
This is a non-coding RNA of Labrus bergylta (ballan wrasse), 2053 nucleotides long. The record is from RefSeq and is a predicted model, not a curated record. NCBI's taxonomy places the organism in Eukaryota, Metazoa, Chordata, Actinopteri, Labriformes, Labridae.